RNAcentral lists this small RNA (112 nucleotides) under Soonwooa buanensis. Its description in RNAcentral is "Flavo-1 RNA". The record is from RNAcentral. Lineage: Bacteria; Pseudomonadati; Bacteroidota; Flavobacteriia; Flavobacteriales; Weeksellaceae.
UGUUUGCGUGAGCGAUGGCAGCGGAAAUCCUUUGGGUUGGAGUGAGGCGACGGAGCGUAGCGGAGUCGUCCGAGCGACAAACCAAAGAUUGAAGCGAACGUAGCGACCCGCU